Molecule: ribosomal RNA, 469 nt
Filed under: Peripatoides sp. DNA103697
Lineage: Eukaryota; Metazoa; Onychophora; Udeonychophora; Euonychophora; Peripatopsidae
Description: partial 16S ribosomal RNA
Rfam family: Bacterial large subunit ribosomal RNA
Source: RNAcentral
UGCUUUUUGUAUAUAUAAAAAGUAUUACCUGCCCAAUGAUUAAUUAAAUGGCCGCAGUAUAUUGACUGUGCAAAGGUAGCAUAAUCAUUUGUUUUAUAAAUUAAAUCUUGUAUGAAUGGAAAUAUGAAAAUAUAACUGUCUUUUUUUUAUAAAUAAAAUUUGCUUUUUUAGUGAAGAAGCUAAAACUUUUUAAAAAGACGAAAAGACCCUAACGAGUUUUGAAUAUUUAUUAUAUAUAAUUUUAAAUAUUUUUAAUUGGGGUGAUUAAAGAAUAAAUCUUCUUUUUAUAAAAAUUAUAAUUAUUGAUCCAUUAAUAAUGAAUAAAGUAUAAAUUACCGUAGGGUUAACAGCAUAAUUUUUUUUAAGAGUUCAUAUUGACAAAAAAGAUUGUGACCUCGAUGUUGGUUUAAGAAACUUUUAUAAUGAAGAAAUUAUAAAAAUAAGUCUGUUCGACUUUUAAAAUCUUACA